This 384-nucleotide ribosomal RNA is filed under the name uncultured bacterium. RNAcentral's name for it is "bacterial SSU rRNA". It matches the Rfam family "Bacterial small subunit ribosomal RNA", at positions 9 to 372 of the family's 1533-position model. The record is from RNAcentral.
GAGUUUGAUCGUGGCUCAGAACGAACGCUGGCGGCGUGGAUAAGACAUGCAAGUCGAGCGCGAAUUCUGGUGUAGCAAUACAUCAGAGUUUGAGCGGCGCAAGGGUGCGUAACACGUGGGUAAUUUGCCGUGAAGUUGGGGAUAACUCGCUGAAAGGCGAGCUAAUACCGGAUGUGGUUAUUGGAUGGCAUCAUUUGGUAACUAAAGCUGGGGAUCGUAAGACCUGGCGCUUCAUGAUAAGCCCGCGGCCUAUCAGCUAGUUGGUGAGGUAACGGCUCACCAAGGCGAAGACGGGUAGCUGGUCUGAGAGGACGACCAGCCACACUGGAACUGAGACACGGUCCAGACACCUACGGGUGGCAGCAGUCGAGAAUUUUUCUCAAU